RNAcentral lists this long non-coding RNA (387 nucleotides) under Phoenix dactylifera (date palm). RNAcentral's name for it is "long non-coding RNA (PDAC_LNC007247)". Lineage: Eukaryota; Viridiplantae; Streptophyta; Magnoliopsida; Arecales; Arecaceae. The record is from RNAcentral.
AUACCUAAACUUAGUUGGUCAUAAAAAAACUUUGGCUUGUUGGAAAAAGGCCGAAUGGUUACGGUUAUGAUAUCACAAAACAUGUACUUGAUGAGCAAUUCAUAUAACACCUUAGGGUAUUGCAUAUGAAUCCCUCAGCUAGGUCUUAAUGUUUUGAAAAUAGAUAUUCUCAAUGGGUAGGAUUCAAUAUAGGUCAGCAUGGUGCAAAUGACAUACGGUACCCCUAACUUAUGGGGAAUCAAUCCUAUUAAGGGCUUAUUUGGAUGUUUUUAUAGGAUUGGGCUGAAAAUUCUGUAGCAGUCAGGCUUGUUAGUCCAUCUAGCUUGCAUUUUAUAAGAGUUUAUUCAGACCUAACCCAGAUCCUAGCUUUUGUGUUGCAGGAAGAAA